CCUACGGGUGGCAGCAGUGGGGAAUAUUGCACAAUGGGGGAAACCCUGAUGCAGCGACGCCGCGUGAGUGAAGAAGUAUUUCGGUAUGUAAAGCUCUAUCAGCAGGGAAGAAAAUGACGGUACCUGAUUAAGAAGCCCCGACAAAUUCCGGGCCAGCAGCCGCGGUAAUACGGAGGGCCGGGGCGUUACCCGAAUUUAUUGGGUUUAAAGGGGCGGAAGGCGGCAUGUCAAGCGUGCUGUGAAAUGCCCGGGCUCAACCCGGGCAUUGCAGGGCGAACUGGCGUGCUUGAGUCCGCGAAAAGCAGGCGGAAUUCGUCGUGUAGCGGUGAAAUGCUUAGAUAUGACGAAGAACCCCGAUUGCGAAGGCAGCUUGCUGCAGCGGAACUGACGCUGAUGCUCGAAAGCGCGGGUAUCGAACAGGAUUAGAUACCCGGGUAGUC
Molecule: ribosomal RNA, 440 nt
Filed under: uncultured bacterium
Lineage: Bacteria
Description: partial 16S ribosomal RNA
Rfam family: Bacterial small subunit ribosomal RNA
Source: RNAcentral